This 379-nucleotide long non-coding RNA is filed under the name Erythranthe guttata (spotted monkey flower). Its description in RNAcentral is "long non-coding RNA (EGUT_LNC002819)". Lineage: Eukaryota; Viridiplantae; Streptophyta; Magnoliopsida; Lamiales; Phrymaceae. The record is from RNAcentral.
GAAAAAUAACAACUCCCAUGAGGAGAAUACUAGCUCCGUGCUACUACAUUAUCGUGAGACAACUUCCACGAGGACGUAACUCGAUCAACUCGAUUACCCCAGAGACAACUCCCACGAGGAGAUUACUUGAUCCGUGCUACUACAUUAUCGCGAGACAACUCCCACGAGGAGAUAACUCGAUCAACACUAUUACCCCGCGACAAGAGAACUCCCACGAGGAGAUAAUUCGCUACUACAUCGUCGCGGGACAAAACCGACGACUCAAUUAACUUAUAUCGCGGUAACUUUGUCGCGCUAUGCGCCAACGCGCAUUCACACCCCUCCGACACACGCUCCAACGCGUUUUCGCAUACCAUUAGGCCAUACGCCAACGAUCGAC